UACGUAGGCAGCGAGCGUUGUUCGGAGUUACUGGGCGUAAAGAGUGCGUAGGCGGUUUUCUAAGUUUGGUGUGAAAUCUCCCGGCUCAACUGGGAGGGUGCGCCGAAGACUGGAAGGCUUGAGUAUGGGAGAGGGAUGCGGAAUUCCAGGUGUAGCGGUGAAAUGCGUAGAUAUCUGGAGGAACACCGGUGGCGAAGGCGGCAUCCUGGACCAUUACUGACACUGAAAAGCGAAAGCCAGGGGAGCAAACGGG
RNAcentral lists this ribosomal RNA (253 nucleotides) under uncultured bacterium. RNAcentral's name for it is "partial 16S ribosomal RNA". It matches the Rfam family "Bacterial small subunit ribosomal RNA", at positions 524 to 776 of the family's 1533-position model. The record is from RNAcentral.